RNAcentral lists this ribosomal RNA (426 nucleotides) under Chloroflexota bacterium. RNAcentral describes it as "Chloroflexi bacterium partial 16S ribosomal RNA". It matches the Rfam family "Bacterial small subunit ribosomal RNA", at positions 358 to 776 of the family's 1533-position model. The record is from RNAcentral. Lineage: Bacteria; Bacillati; Chloroflexota.
UGAAUAUUGCACAAUGGGCGCAAGCCUGAUGCAGCCAUGCCGCGUGUAUGAAGAAGGCCUUCGGGUUGUAAAGUACUUUCAGCGGGGAGGAAGGGAGUAAAGUUAAUACCUUUGCUCAUUGACGUUACCCGCAGAAGAAGCACCGGCUAACUCCGUGCCAGCAGCCGCGGUAAUACGGAGGGUGCAAGCGUUAAUCGGAAUUACUGGGCGUAAAGCGCACGCAGGCGGUUUGUUAAGUCAGAUGUGAAAUCCCCGGGCUCAACCUGGGAACUGCAUCUGAUACUGGCAAGCUUGAGUCUCGUAGAGGGGGGUAGAAUUCCAGGUGUAGCGGUGAAAUGCGUAGAGAUCUGGAGGAAUACCGGUGGCGAAGGCGGCCCCCUGGACGAAGACUGACGCUCAGGUGCGAAAGCGUGGGGAGCAAACAGG